RNAcentral lists this ribosomal RNA (501 nucleotides) under Triticum aestivum (bread wheat). RNAcentral's name for it is "partial small subunit ribosomal RNA". The record is from RNAcentral. Lineage: Eukaryota; Viridiplantae; Streptophyta; Magnoliopsida; Poales; Poaceae.
AUGUACAACGGCAUCGGGCUGCAGACGGCGCGCGGGUCCGGCACGAAUGGGCACGUCCAGACCAACAAGUUCUUCAUCCAGCCCCGGACCGGCGGCCCGCCGCCCAAGGCGCCGCUCCACAGCCACGACGACGGCGCCGCCGGGACGCGGAAGCCGAACAAGGAGAUCCUGGAGCACGACCGGAGGCGGCAGGUGGAGCUGCGGCUGGUCGAGCUGAGGGACACCCUCGAGGAGCAGGGCUACACGGAAGGCGAGAUCGAGGAGCGCGUCGAGGAGGCGCGCAAGAAAGCCGAGCUGGAGGCUGCCCGCGGCGGCGCCGGGGGUGCAGCACCGCGUCCGGGCGAAGGGUUCAUGGGUAUGCAGAGCCACCAUGUCGCAGCACGCAAGGAGAAGAAGCUCGAGGCGAUGAGGGCUGCUCUUGGGCUAGAUGCUGAGGUUGGACAGAAGAGGAACGCUCAAGUAGACAGUGGGGAGCUUGUACCUGGGAAGGAUGGGUUCUGA